Molecule: long non-coding RNA, 2751 nt
Filed under: Acanthaster planci (crown-of-thorns starfish)
Lineage: Eukaryota; Metazoa; Echinodermata; Asteroidea; Valvatida; Acanthasteridae
Description: uncharacterized LOC110986263
Source: RNAcentral
UCAGUGUCGGGUGUUACAUCUUGUUUAAUUUAUAUAGUUUAGAACAGCAGCUCCCAACUGAAUAUCAACUAUACAAUAAUCAUGAGCAACAAAGCCUAACAGUCCAAUAAGUACAGUUGCGGAAAUAAUCGGCUGAGAGAGGUCGGAAUGUUUGAAGAACUGGUCGUAGGCUUAUCACUUCGCCAAGGUCCAGAAUGUGUGAUUGCAAGUGCUGUCAAAGCUGGGGAAACUGCUGUCGGUAUACAUGCAGACUGCUAGUGGGAAUUCUUUGUGUACCUUUCCUCCUGGUCAUCAGUCUACUUGCCCUGAUUGUAGCGAUCAUUCUUUGCCCAUUAAAAUGCUGUAGUCCUUGUUGCGCACCCUGUCUGGAAGCACUACAAAAAGGUUUGGUCUUCUUGCUGAAAGCGCCGUUCCUGUUCGUUAUGUGGUGUGUUGGCAAGGUAACGACUGAAGAUGACGAAGAGAAACAAGAGCUUCCCAAAAACGCUGCUGAGUACGGCACCAGUAAGGCCGAGGAACCAGCAGCGGACGGGAAGGAAACGGACACUAGCACUACCUGAUUUGAAAACGGAAAUAGGCAACGGAAUAACGAACAAGUACUGGUACUUUUGCCAUAGACCAUGCAUGAAUCUUUGACUUGUAUUGUUUGCAUGCAACUGGGAUUACGUAAGAACGUGGCAAGAAAGGCCAACAAGUCCUGAAAACCCACCCCUCAGCAACAUCUGAAUAUGAUUAUUACACGCGUAAAUCCAUUUUUUCGUUUUUUGAAAACUGUUGAACACGUCAGGUGAGAUAAAAAGGGCCCCAAUUUUCGUGAUGCCUAUUAGAUAGAGUGCUGAAGACUGUGUGGCGUAUGACGUUUUGCGCAGUGUGUUAUGGAGCCAUGCAAAACAGCUGGCCUCAUCUCGUCUGUCUACUUCUCUGUGACCACCGAAAAUACGGCCAUUACAAAAAGAAGUCAGCUUAGGCGUCUAGUGGCGAAACUGGGGGCAUGGGAGGCGUGACGCCCUCUACUAUUCGAGUUCUCAGCUCCCCGUGUGUCCCCUAUUGGGAAUUACAGAAGGAAAACAUGUGGUGAUAGUCCGCCUUGGUCAAUUGGUCAAAUGCACCCCAGUUACGCCACUAUACGAGUCUUUACACCCAGAACUAAACAUGCAGUUGCUUUGUUUUUGCAACCUGACAGUUCCAUGCCACCGUACUGAACACGUGGAACAUGGCACAUAGAUAUGUAUUCAUGUUUGAAGUUAAAGUCAUUUUCAAUUUUUGUUUCACUAUUUCAAAUGGUGUUUUGCUGGGUUUUUUGGGUUGUCUUAGUAAUAUUUCCAUAUUCAUGAGUAAAACUGUGAUGUCAUCAUCCGAGAAGAAAAACCAUAAUGUUACAAGGAUUUGUGCAAAGAAAAUCGCAUUUAAAAGAAUUUUGCUGGCAUAAAUUUUCUCUUCGCUUUGGUGAUUCACUGUUGUGUGGGUACAUAGUGACAAGAAAGUCAUCAAUCCUUUUCUCACAAAUAUUUUCAGUGAGUAAAUUCUUGGUUCAUAUAUAAUUUGAACAGAAAAACAGAAGCACUGGGCCAUUGUCUUUCCCGGUGAUUACAGCAACACCGCCUUAGGCCAGAAAAGUACUGAUAAUUUUAAAUGUUUAAAAGAGUGUACUUUUCAGUAUAUUUAACCUAAUACGUGUAGAUAUCAAUAAGUUUCAUUAAAUGAAAAUCCAUGUCUAAGAAAAAAAUCAUUGCAGAUACACUUUAACCAUGGCAUAAGUUACACUGUACAUAUGUACAUGUACCGACAAACGUUCAAGUCAGACAGAAAGUCACGUAUCUCCUUCUCAUGUCAAGGCUUCCGCGUUGAUUUUAAUGAUAUGAAAAAGCAAACGAAAAUGCAGCUGUUAAUUGAAAUAUGAGUUUAAAUCGGUUGUAUCAAUAUGGCAUAAUACUUCCGUAGGCUUCUCGGUCCGUGCAGUUUGGCACAAUGUAUUUUACAAUUUUAUUGUUGAUAUACUGCGUCUCAUUAUUUCAGGCUGAAAGACAAUGGAGUAUAGACUGGUAGGCCUAACGCAGCAGUGGAGUUCCGUGCAAACUGCAAUGAUUCCGUUGCAGAAAAUGCAGCGUUGAUCCUGAAUUGAUAAUUGUACUUCAUUCAUGAAUGCGAAAAGUGUAUACAAUGUCACCGAGUGGCAUACGACAAAACGAGACCGAUAAUUAUUUACAUUGACGUUCAGCAUUUCUGCUUUGUAAAUGAGAAGCUACAUUCCGUGCCCCAUUGUGUCGUUGAGGGCGUAGGUAGGUGGUGUGGUGUGGCGCAGAAAAAACUCCUCUUUGGGUCAAUUCCGAGGGUGGAUCACUUAUCUCGUGAGUUGUGAGUGGUGUAGCUCUGGGAUAUCCCCGUCGACUCAUUCAGGAUCCUGUAAUGGCACUAAAGGCACGCCACACAUCUAAUUGUGGGGGUUCACAAACCCUGUGCGAAGCAGUGGCGUCACUACGGGGGGGGGGCACGUGCCCCCCAACGGAGGCCGGUCCCUCCCCUAUUUGAAAAUGGAAAUGGAAAAUAUAUAUAUAUACCUAGUUCAAUUAUUUUCAGUGCCCCGUGAAAAAAAAUUGUGCACCCCAGGUGCCCCGUCAGCUGUAGCAUCCUAGUUACGCCACUGGUGCGAAUUAAGUUACAGAUUCCUCCCUUUCACGGCGCCCCCUACUGGUGUACUGGUUUCGUUUAUGAGUGAAGAAGAACUGAAUCAGCUUGCUUUUGUUUUACACA